GAUGAAUCUGGCAGUAUUGUUGUACUUCCUGUCUCUGCUGAAAGCGCAGGAUUGUUGCCAAACCGUAAAGAUGGAGCAAAAGGGUCUGACAUUGUCUUAGAAGCAAUACUGGAGGCAGAUGUGGCAAAGAAUGCCAAAGAAUUUUUCUCACAGCCACAAAACCAAUUAAAAAGUGAAUGAAGAGGUUUACUUUCCAACUUUAAGACCAAUUCUGUAAUCUUUUAUUUAUUAAAAGACAACACAUUAGAGGUUUACUAAGUUUAUGGUUCUUUU
RNAcentral lists this unclassified non-coding RNA (273 nucleotides) under Hevea brasiliensis (rubber tree). The record is from RNAcentral. Lineage: Eukaryota; Viridiplantae; Streptophyta; Magnoliopsida; Malpighiales; Euphorbiaceae.